MicroRNA precursor from Cavia aperea (Brazilian guinea pig), 84 nucleotides. The record is from Ensembl. Lineage: Eukaryota; Metazoa; Chordata; Mammalia; Rodentia; Caviidae.
UUUUCCCUGGGUUUUGAAUUUGCAGUAACAGGUGUGAACAUUCUAGCAGCAGUUUGAUGAUCAUGUAUGAUACUGCAAACAGGA